RNAcentral lists this ribosomal RNA (220 nucleotides) under uncultured bacterium. RNAcentral describes it as "partial 16S ribosomal RNA". It matches the Rfam family "Bacterial small subunit ribosomal RNA", at positions 32 to 245 of the family's 1533-position model. The record is from RNAcentral.
AUCAACGCUGGCGGCGUGCCUAACACAUGCAAGUCGAACGCGAAAGGGGCUUCGGUCCUGAGUAGAGUGGCGUCCGGGUGAGUAACGCGUGGGUAAUCUACCCUUGGGUGGGAAGUAACCAGUACGAAAGAUUGGCUAAUACCGCAUAAUGCAGCGGCUCGACAUCGAGACAGUUGUUAAAGCAGCAAUGCGCCAGAGGAGGAGCCUGCGUCUGAUUAGC